GUAAUGCUCCAUUCUAUGUUAAAUAUAAUCAUAAAUGGAAACUGACAAUCAGUUUGUAACAUCGAUGCAUGGAAAUUGUUAUUCUUUGAAGCAAAAGCGAUCGAUGAAAAACAGCCAACAACGUGCGCAUAGUUGGAGAUACUUAUUUUUAUCAAAAAAGUUAUUGUAGUUACCUAAUUUCUUUAAUUUAAUAUUAAUUUAAAACCAUUCACUAUUAAUUUGAUAUUCAUGAUUGUGACACUUAAUUAUUUAAUUUGCCGGUUGACAACAAAUAAAUCAAAAGGUGUAAUUAAUAACAAGUAUUCAAACAGUCUUCUAUGAAAUGAACAAAAAUGAGUCGACAAGUAGAUAUGGACCCCUCGUCGGUGCAAUCGACGAAGGGACAAGUAGUGCUAGAUUUUUGGUUUUUGCUGCAGAUACAGCUGAAGUGUUAACAUAUCAUCAGGUUCCAAUAACACAAACAUGUCCAAAAGAAGGAUGGGUUGAGCAAGAUCCCGUAGAAAUAUUAAAAGCAGUUAGAGAAUGUCUUAAUCAGACUAUAUUUAAUUUACGCCAGCUUACCAUAGAUCCUACUGAUAUAGUUGCAGUUGGUAUAACAAAUCAAAGAGAAACUACAGUUGUAUGGGAUUCCAUUACUGGAGAACCAUUAUAUAAUGCUAUAGUAUGGAUGGAUAUGAGAACUACUUCAAUUGUAGAUGAUAUAUUAAAAAAAAUACGUAAUCAAAAUAAAAACUAUUUGAAACCACUUUGUGGUUUACCAAUUAGUCCAUAUUUCAGUGGUUUAAAAUUAAAAUGGUUGUUAGAAAAUGUACCUCGUGUACGUGAGGCUCUAGAUUUAAAACGGUGCAUGUUUGGCACAAUUGAUUCAUGGUUAAUUUGGAAUUUAACUGGAGGUGUUCAUGCCACUGAUGUUACAAAUGCUUCAAGAACAAUGUUAAUGAAUAUCACAACUUUAAAAUGGGAUCCAACAUUAUUAUCAUUUUUUAAUAUACCUUCAGAAAUUUUACCAGAGAUUCGUAGUUCGUCAGAAAUAUAUGGUUAUAUACAAGAUGAAGUUUUAUCUGGUGUACCAAUAUCAGGAUGUUUAGGUGAUCAACAGUCAGCAUUAGUAGGACAAAUGUGUUUACAAAAAGGACAAGCAAAAAGCACUUAUGGCACAGGCUGUUUUCUUUUAUAUAAUACUGGAACUGCUAUUGUAGAUUCAUCUCAUGGAUUAUUGACAACAGUUGCUUAUCAAUUAGGACCACAAGCAGCACCAAUAUAUGCUCUUGAAGGCUCUAUAGCUAUAGCUGGUGCUGUUAUUCAAUGGCUAAAAGAUAAUCUUGGAGUACUAUCUGAUGUAAAGGAAUCUGAAUCUCUUGUUGAACAAAUUCCAACUGAUAAUCGUGUUACAUUUGUACCUGCAUUUGCUGGAUUAUAUGCUCCAUAUUGGAGGAAAGAUGCAAGAAGUGUUAUAUGUGGAAUUACUGAAGACACAAAUAGUACACAUAUUAUAAAGGCAGCUUUGCAAGCUGUUUGUUUUCAGACAAGAGACAUUUUGGAAGCUAUGAAAGAAGACACAGGUUUAACAUUAUCUAAAUUGUUAGUUGAUGGUGCUAUGACUACUAAUAAUUUGUUAAUGCAAAUGCAAGCAGAUAUUUGUGGAAUUCCAGUUGAAAGUGAGGCCUUUAAUGUGUGAAACUACUGCACUUGGAGUUGCAAUUGCUGCAGGAAAUGCAGAUGGUAUACGAAAAUGGGAUGUAAAACUUGAUAUUGCUGUACCAAGUGAUAUUUUCUUACCUUCAAUAUCUGAGAAUGAACGAGAUAUAUUAUAUUCACAAUGGAAAAUGGCUAUUGAUCGUAGUUUAGGUUGGGAACCAGUUUCUAAUACCAAUGAUAAUAUAAAGAAUAUUCACAAAGCAACUGCUCCAGGUAUUUUUAUGAUAAGUACAUUACUUUUACUUAUGAUUGCAAAAUAUCAUUCUAUGUUAUGACUGAAAGAGUACAGUACCAUGUACUGUACUUAUCUCAAAUAAUGCAUUUGGGCAGGUCCUGUUUGCUAACAAGUAUUUAGAUUAUUAUUUGAUAUUAAUAUACUGAUCAUUAAACUUUGUAAAAAUAAUAUUAUUUAUAAGUAAAGAAUGAACUAAAGAACAAAUAUAAAUAAAUGUGCCAUAA
Molecule: unclassified non-coding RNA, 2157 nt
Filed under: Apis dorsata (giant honeybee)
Lineage: Eukaryota; Metazoa; Arthropoda; Insecta; Hymenoptera; Apidae
Description: glycerol kinase-like, transcript variant X1
Source: RNAcentral